RNAcentral lists this ribosomal RNA (410 nucleotides) under uncultured bacterium. Its description in RNAcentral is "bacterial SSU rRNA". It matches the Rfam family "Bacterial small subunit ribosomal RNA", at positions 30 to 452 of the family's 1533-position model. The record is from RNAcentral.
AUUGAACGCUGGCGGCAGGCUUAACACAUGCAAGUCGAACGGAACCUUCGGGUUUAGUGGCGAACGGGUGAGUAAUACCUAGGAAUCUGCCUAUUAGUGGGGGAUAACGGCUCGAAAGGGUCGCUAAUACCGCAUACGUCCUACGGGAGAAAGAGGGGGAUCUUCGGACCUCUUGCUAAUAGAUGAGCCUAGGCCGGAUUAGCUAGUUGGUAGGGUAAAGGCCUACCAAGGCGACGAUCCGUAGCUGGUCUGAGAGGAUGAUCAGCCACACUGGAACUGAGACACGGUCCAGACUCUUACGGGAGGCAGCAGUGGGGAAUAUUGGACAAUGGGGGCAACCCUGAUCCAGCCAUGCCGCGUGUGUGAAGAAGGCCUUCGGGUUGUAAGCGACUUUAAGCGAGGAGGAAGGU